This 460-nucleotide ribosomal RNA is filed under the name uncultured bacterium. RNAcentral describes it as "partial 16S ribosomal RNA". It matches the Rfam family "Bacterial small subunit ribosomal RNA", at positions 338 to 795 of the family's 1533-position model. The record is from RNAcentral.
CCUACGGGGGACAGCAGUGAGGAAUAUUGGUCAAUGGGCGCGAGCCUGAACCAGCCAAGUCGCGUGAGGGAGGACGGCCCUACGGGUUGUAAACCUCUUUUGCCGGGGAGCAACGGGCGUCACGUGUGGCGCCACUGAGAGUACCCGGAGAAAAAGCAUCGGCUAACUCCGUGCCAGCAGCCGCGGUAAUACGGAGGAUGCGAGCGUUAUCCGGAUGGAUUGGGUUAAAAGGGUGCGUAGGCGGAUCGUUAAGUCAGUGGUCAAAUUGAGGGGCCCAACCCCUUCCCGCCAUUGAAACUGGCGAUCUUGAGUGGAAGAGAAGUAUGCGGAAUGCGUGGUGUAGCGGUGAAAUGCAUAGAUAUCACGCAGAACCCCGAUUGCGAAGGCAGCAUGCCGGCUUCCGACUGACGCUGAAGCACGAAAGCGUGGGGAUCGAACAGGAUUAGAUACCCGGGUAGUC